GACGAACGCUGGCGGCAUGCCUUACACAUGCAAGUCGAACGGCAGCACGGGUGCUUGCACCUGGUGGCGAGUGGCGAACGGGUGAGUAAUACAUCGGAACGUACCUUAUCGUGGGGGAUAACGCAGCGAAAGCUGUGCUAAUACCGCAUACGCCCUGAGGGGGAAAGCGGGGGAUCGCAAGACCUCGCGCGAUUAGAGCGGCCGAUGCCUGAUUAGCUUGUUGGUGGGGUAAAAGCCCACCAAGGCGACGAUCAGUAGCUGGUCUGAGAGGACGAUCAGCCACACUGGGACUGAGACACGGCCCAGACUCCUACGGGAGGCAGCAGUGGGGAAUUUUGGACAAUGGGGGCAACCCUGAUCCAGCAAUGCCGCGUGAGUGAAGAAGGCCUUCGGGUUGUAAAGCUCUUUUGUCAGGGAAGAAACACCGGCUCUAACACAGUCCGGGAAUGACGGUACCUGAAGAAUAAGCACCGGCUAACUACGUGCCAGCAGCCGCCGUAA
RNAcentral lists this ribosomal RNA (501 nucleotides) under uncultured bacterium. RNAcentral's name for it is "partial 16S ribosomal RNA". It matches the Rfam family "Bacterial small subunit ribosomal RNA", at positions 28 to 523 of the family's 1533-position model. The record is from RNAcentral.